RNAcentral lists this ribosomal RNA (497 nucleotides) under uncultured bacterium. Its description in RNAcentral is "partial 16S ribosomal RNA". It matches the Rfam family "Bacterial small subunit ribosomal RNA", at positions 28 to 507 of the family's 1533-position model. The record is from RNAcentral.
GAUGAACGCUGGCGGCGUGCCUAAUACAUGCAAGUCGAGCGAACAGACGAGGAGCUUGCUCCUCUGACGUUAGCGGCGGACGGGUGAGUAACACGUGGAUAACCUACCUAUAAGACUGGGAUAACUUCGGGAAACCGGAGCUAAUACCGGAUAACAUGUUGAACCGCAUGGUUUAACAGUGAAAGACGGUCUUGCUGUCACUUAUAGAUGGAUCCGCGCCGCAUUAGCUAGUUGGUAAGGUAACGGCUUACCAAGGCAACGAUGCGUAGCCGACCUGAGAGGGUGAUCGGCCACACUGGAACUGAGACACGGUCCAGACUCCUACGGGAGGCAGCAGUAGGGAAUCUUCCGCAAUGGGCGAAAGCCUGACGGAGCAACGCCGCGUGAGUGAAGAAGGUCUUCGGAUCGUAAAACUCUGUCAUUAGGGAAGAACAAAUGUGUAAGUAACUAUGCACGUCUUGACGGUACCUAAUCAGAAAGCCACGGCUAACUACGUG